UAGGGAAUCUUCCGCAAUGGGCGAAAGCCUGACGGAGCAACGCCGCGUGAGUGAUGAAGGUCUUCGGAUCGUAAAACUCUGUUAUUAGGGAAGAACAUAUGUGUAAGUAACUGUGCACAUCUUGACGGUACCUAAUCAGAAAGCCACGGCUAACUACAUGCCAGCAGCCGCGGUAAUACGUAGGUGGCAAGCGUUAUCCGGAAUUAUUGGGCGUAAAGCGCGCGUAGGCGGUUUUUUAAGUCUGAUGUGAAAGCCCACGGCUCAACCGUGGAGGGUCAUUGGAAACUGGAAAACUUGAGUGCAGAAGAGGAAAGUGGAAUUCCAUGUGUAGCGGUGAAAUGCGCAGAGAUAUGGAGGAACACCAGUGGCGAAGGCGACUUUCUGGUCUGUAACUGACGCUGAUGUGCGAAAGCGUGGGGAUCAAACAGGAUUAGAUACCCUGGUAGUCCACGCCGUAAACGAUGAGUGCUAAGUGUUAGGGGGUUUCCGCCCCUUAGUGCUGCAGCUAACGCAUUAAGCACUCCGCCUGGGGAGUACGACCGCAAGGGUUG
RNAcentral lists this ribosomal RNA (551 nucleotides) under uncultured bacterium. RNAcentral's name for it is "bacterial SSU rRNA". It matches the Rfam family "Bacterial small subunit ribosomal RNA", at positions 355 to 897 of the family's 1533-position model. The record is from RNAcentral.